UACGUAGGGUGCAAGCGUUAAUCGGAAUUACUGGGCGUAAAGUGUGCGCAGGUGGCCGCGCAAGUCGAGUGUGAAAGCCCCGGGCUUAACUUGGGAAUUGCGCUCGAAACUACGUGGCUCGAGUGUGGCAGAGGAAGGUGGAAUUCCACGUGUAGCGGUGAAAUGCGUAGAGAUGUGGAGGAACACCGAUGGCGAAGGCAGCCUUCUGGGCCAACACUGACGCUCAUGCACGAAAGCGUGGGGAGCAAACAGG
This 253-nucleotide ribosomal RNA is filed under the name uncultured bacterium. RNAcentral's name for it is "partial 16S ribosomal RNA". It matches the Rfam family "Bacterial small subunit ribosomal RNA", at positions 524 to 776 of the family's 1533-position model. The record is from RNAcentral.